This is a non-coding RNA of Malus domestica (apple), 619 nucleotides long. NCBI's taxonomy places the organism in Eukaryota, Viridiplantae, Streptophyta, Magnoliopsida, Rosales, Rosaceae. The record is from RefSeq and is a predicted model, not a curated record.
ACAGUUCCCAAGUCUGGAUGCUGCCACACCCUUUGAUCCACACAUACCUCUUCUUUUCGCGUCAUUUCGUUGCCUCCUCUCCACCACUUCUCGCUCUGCUACAAAUUGAUGCCAAAAACUCAAAAGAACGAACGGAUAAAAAUGUUGAACUGUUCUCUGGAUAAAAAUUGCUCUGGGCAUCCAGUUCUCUCACGUGGCUCCCGUUCCUGACACCUUCAGAAUUCUCCACCAAAUGGGUGUUGUUUUGAUGUUCAGAGGCCAAAUGCUCGUCGUCAAGAUGAGAAUUUUUCCUCUAAGUUACACAAAAUUUCGCUGGUUCUUUGUUGUUUCAUUCAUCUGUGAGCAUGUUUGAGAAUUGAAGUGAAUUGUGAAUCUUGGUUGAAAAAGUUACCUGAGAGAGAUUUUGGCAUAGGUGUGUGUAAGAGGAUGGAGUACUUCAUCCCCGAGGCAAGUCCUUUUACACAAAUUUGUGUGAAAUACAUAGUUGUAUACGGAGUUUUUUUGUAAACGAAGCUAAAAGUACAACUGUCUUUUUGUACUUUUUAUUUUUAAAUGUGAUUUAAGUCCUAUGAUGGGAGUGAAGGUCUGAAAUUGCUGAAAAUAUACAUAGCUACAUCUA